Long non-coding RNA from Prunus mume (Japanese apricot), 642 nucleotides. RefSeq lists it as uncharacterized. The record is from RefSeq and is a predicted model, not a curated record. Lineage: Eukaryota; Viridiplantae; Streptophyta; Magnoliopsida; Rosales; Rosaceae.
ACAAGUGACGAAACAUGGCUUUGUAUUGUAACACCCACUUGGUUGAGGUCCAAGAAUUGACAGAGUGAAUCGGAACAAACGCGAUCUUCUCUCAAACCCUAGACCUAACCUUCCUUACCCCAUCACUGUAACAUGGAGCUCAGUCCUCACCCUCAUUCGACGUAUUGUUCUUCAUUCUUCGUCUUCUUCAUCAACAGAAUCCCAAACCUUAACCCUAAUCCGAAGAUGUAGAAGACGAAGAAUCUGCUGGCGAAUUCGUUCAUCGUCUGGCUGAUUCGUUCAUCGACAAAUCUGAUGGCCGAUUCGUUUGUCAUCGAAUCUGAUGGCAGAUUCGUUCAUCGUCUUCGCACCAUCGGAUGAGCUUCGGCUCCGAAGAGACCUUGAUUCGUCUCACAUUAGGUUUUGAGCUUCCGCAAGUCUCUUGCUAUAUUACGUGCACUCGUCAGGCAUAAAAAGGCGAAUAACGAACCAUACGAAUCAAUGUUCAGCAGUGAUCGAUCACCCCAGCUGUUGCAUUCUUUUUAAAUGAUUUACUGAAUCGUUUCAUUUAUUUUAUUUAUUUAAAAUGCUAUUGGAUUUGGGUGCAUCGUAUUUUAAUUGAUAAAACUGGAUAAAAUAUCCAAAAGAUUAUAAUUGGAGAAA